This 497-nucleotide ribosomal RNA is filed under the name uncultured bacterium. Its description in RNAcentral is "partial 16S ribosomal RNA". It matches the Rfam family "Bacterial small subunit ribosomal RNA", at positions 28 to 507 of the family's 1533-position model. The record is from RNAcentral.
GAUGAACGCUGGCGGCGUGCCUAAUACAUGCAAGUCGAGCGAACGGACGAGAAGCUUGCUUCUCUGAUGUUAGCGGCGGACGGGUGAGUAACACGUGGAUAACCUACCUAUAAGACUGGGAUAACUUCGGGAAACCGUAGCUAAUACCGGAUAAUAUUUUGAACCGCAUGGUUCAAAAGCGAAAGACGGUCUUGCUGUCACUUAUAGAUGGAUCCGCGCUGCAUUAGCUAGUUGGUAAGGUAACGGCUUACCAAGGCAACGAUGCAUAGCCGACCUGAGAGGGUGAUCGGCCACACUGGAACUGAGACACGGUCCAGACCCCUACGGGAGGCAGCAGUAGGGAAUCUUCCGCAAUGGGCGAAAGCCUGACGGAGCAACGCCGCGUGAGUGAUGAAGGUCUUCGGAUCGUAAAACUCUGUUAUUAGGGAAGAACAUAUGUGUAAGUAACUGUGCACAUCUUGACGGUACCUAAUCAGAAAGCCACGGCUAACUACGUG